This 274-nucleotide ribosomal RNA is filed under the name uncultured Lachnospiraceae bacterium. RNAcentral describes it as "partial 16S ribosomal RNA". It matches the Rfam family "Bacterial small subunit ribosomal RNA", at positions 74 to 339 of the family's 1533-position model. Lineage: Bacteria; Bacillati; Bacillota; Clostridia; Lachnospirales; Lachnospiraceae. The record is from RNAcentral.
UUUCCUUCGGGAUUGAUAUUUUGUGACUGAGUGGCGGACGGGUGAGUAACGCGUGGGUAACCUGCCUUGUACAGGGGGAUAACAGUUGGAAACGGCUGCUAAUACCGCAUAAGCGCACGGCAUCGCAUGAUGCAGUGUGAAAAACUCCGGUGGUAUGAGAUGGACCCGCGUCUGAUUAGGUAGUUGGUGAGGUAACGGCUCACCAAGCCGACGAUCAGUAGCCGACCUGAGAGGGUGACCGGCCACAUUGGGACUGAGACACGGCCCAAACUCC